RNAcentral lists this ribosomal RNA (365 nucleotides) under uncultured bacterium. RNAcentral's name for it is "partial 16S ribosomal RNA". It matches the Rfam family "Bacterial small subunit ribosomal RNA", at positions 338 to 700 of the family's 1533-position model. The record is from RNAcentral.
CCUACGGGUGGCAGCAGUGAGGAAUAUUGGUCAAUGGGCGCGAGCCUGAACCAGCCAAGUAGCGUGAAGGAUGACGGCCCUACGGGGUGUAAACUGCGGUUAUAAAGGAAUAAAGUGAGGCACGUGUGCCUUUUUGUAUGUACUUUAUGAAUAAGGAUCGGCUAACUCCGUGCCAGCAGCCGCGGUAAUACGGAGGAUCCGAGCGUUAUCCGGAGUUAUUGGGUUUAAAGGGAGCGUAGAGGGGUUGUUAAGGCCGUUGUGAAAGUUUGCGGCUCCACCGUCAAAUUGACCUUGAUACUGGCAGCCUUGAUUACAGUUGAGGUCGGCGGCAUUCGUGUUGUAGCGGUUCAAUGCUUAGCUAUCAC